This is a long non-coding RNA of Cyprinus carpio carpio, 533 nucleotides long. The record is from Ensembl. NCBI's taxonomy places the organism in Eukaryota, Metazoa, Chordata, Actinopteri, Cypriniformes, Cyprinidae.
AGUUCCGCCCGGAAGUGUUUCCGCCCGGACCGGAAAAACAGAACACCGGAAUUUCCGGUAGCGCCGUAAGAAGGAAAAUCAGGGAAUUCGAUGCACCUGUGCCUAGUUAGGGACAGCGGUUGGUGAUUGGAGGAUACGCUGGACAAGCGAAGAGGUGAGAGCAAAACCAAGCUGAACUAACUGUGCCUGUGUGUCCCAGCCGUUGCCUGUGGAGAAAGAGAAAGAGACCGUUGCCUGUGGAGGAAGAGAAAGAGAGUGAGCACCCCGAGAACGAACUGUGUGAACCAGUACUUACCGUGAGCUGUAUUCAGCGAAGAGGAGGAAGAAGGAGGGCGCUACGGAUACCUAAGACUCAGGCCGGGGCCCGAGUCCCACGCCCCGGAUCCCCGUGGCCCCCUUGCUCCCUGACCUCUUCCCGGCCAUAGCCCAUCUGGAGGGCCGAGUCAGAGUUUAGUUUUAAUUGCCCUUUUCCUAUUCCCCAAGCUAUUUUUAAAUAUUUAAAUAAAGAUUGUUUUAUCACUUACUUGUUCUCG